This 78-nucleotide non-coding RNA is filed under the name Desulfuromonas soudanensis. Its description in RNAcentral is "c-di-GMP sequence". It matches the Rfam family "c-di-GMP-I riboswitch aptamer". From Rfam's summary of the family: GEMM was predicted in a large-scale screen for bacterial structured RNA regulatory elements. Genes associated with GEMM are involved in a diverse array of functions, including chemotaxis regulation, signal transduction, secretion and chitin. The record is from Rfam by way of RNAcentral. Lineage: Bacteria; Pseudomonadati; Thermodesulfobacteriota; Desulfuromonadia; Desulfuromonadales; Desulfuromonadaceae.
CCGCCGAAAAGGCAAAGCCGGAGCGAUCCGGCGACGCAAUGCAACAGGUCCGUUUCGGCGGACGGCUGAGCUGUCGAA